GAUGAAGAACGUAGUGAAAUGCGAUAAGUAAUGUGAAUUGCAGAAUUCAGUGAAUCAUCGAAUCUUUGAACGCACAUUGCGCCCGCCAGUAUUCUGGCGGGCAUGCCUGUCCGAGCGUCAUUUCAACCCUCGAACCCCUCCGGGGGUACGGCGUUGGGGAUCGGCCCUUUACGGGGCCGGCCCCGAAAUACAGUGGCGGUCUCGCCGCAGCCUCUCCUGCGCAGUAGUUUGCACACUCGCAUCGGGAGCGCGGCGCGUCCACGUCCGUAAAACACCCAACUUCUGAAAUGUUGACCUCGGAUCAGGUAGGAAUACCCGCUGAACUUAAGCAUAUCAAUAAGCGGAGGA
Molecule: unclassified non-coding RNA, 348 nt
Filed under: soil metagenome
Description: partial contains 5.8S ribosomal RNA, internal transcribed spacer 2, and large subunit ribosomal RNA
Rfam family: 5.8S ribosomal RNA (bases 1-120)
Source: RNAcentral